AUGAAGGGGGGGACGGUGCCUACAUGGCUAGAGCUACUGCUUGCAACACAGUUCUUUGCAAUAUGCACCAACCAUCUCUCCUCUACUCGCAAUGAGUGUAACCUGUUUUGCAUAGAUUGUGAGGAAUCAAAGGCUGCCUUAUGCUAUUAUUGCUGUUCACACCAUCAUUCUACCCAUCGAGUAAUCCAGAUAAGGCGGUCAUCAUACCAUGAUGUGGUCAGGGUUGCCGAGUUAAAAGAUGUACUUGAUAUCAGUGAUGUACAAACAUAUGUGAUCAACAGUGCAACGGUUGUAUUUCUUAAUGAGCGCCCACAACAACGUGGUUGUGGUGUUUCUGUGGUCAAGGCAUCAUCAUCAUCAUCAUACAAUUGUGAGAGUUGCAAUCGUGCUCUUCUUGACCCAUUCCGCUUCUGCUCCCUGGGUUGCAACCUUAAAGCAAUCAAAGAGGAUAUGAGGACAAGCAUUCCAACUAGAGAUAUUAUUGACUAUACAAGAAAGGAUGAUGAUACAGAUUGCAGUACCACAAGUGGAAAUACUGGAAACAAUGAAGAGAGUUGCAGCGAUGCAGAUUAUUGCAACGAAAGACCAUCUCCACCAAGGGUUAUUCGUCACCGCCGAAAGGGGAUCCCUCAGCGUGCACCUUUUUAUUGA
This 651-nucleotide ribosomal RNA is filed under the name Triticum aestivum (bread wheat). Its description in RNAcentral is "partial small subunit ribosomal RNA". Lineage: Eukaryota; Viridiplantae; Streptophyta; Magnoliopsida; Poales; Poaceae. The record is from RNAcentral.